RNAcentral lists this long non-coding RNA (345 nucleotides) under Oncorhynchus mykiss (rainbow trout). Its description in RNAcentral is "lncRNA (ENSOMYG00000055338.1)". The record is from RNAcentral. Lineage: Eukaryota; Metazoa; Chordata; Actinopteri; Salmoniformes; Salmonidae.
AUGGUAUGUAGCGUGUGGUAUGUAGCGUGUUAUGUAAUGUGUUUACUAGACGUGGUGUGGUAUGUAGUGUGGUAUGUAGAGUGUUAUGGAAGGUGUUUACUAGUCUUGGUCAUGGUAUGUAGCGUGUGGUAUGUAGCGUGGUAUGGAAUGUGUUUACUAGUCUUGGUCGUGGUAUGUAGCGUGUGGUAUGUAGCGUGGUAUGGAAUGUGUUUACUAGUCUUGGUUGUGGUAUGUAGCGUGGUAUGGAAGGUGUUUACUAGUCUUGGCGUGGUAUGUAGUGUGGUAUGUAGCGUGGUAUGUAGUGUGGUAUGUAGCGUGGUAUGUAGUGUGUGGUGUGGUAUGUAG